UGGGUUGUAAACUGCUUUUUCGCAUGAAGAACAUCUCGGACGUGUCCGGGACUGACGGUAAUGCGUGAAUAAGCACCGGCUAACUCCGUGC
RNAcentral lists this ribosomal RNA (91 nucleotides) under uncultured bacterium. RNAcentral's name for it is "partial 16S ribosomal RNA". The record is from RNAcentral.